This 490-nucleotide long non-coding RNA is filed under the name Heterocephalus glaber (naked mole-rat). RNAcentral describes it as "lncRNA (ENSHGLG00000037080.1)". The record is from RNAcentral. Lineage: Eukaryota; Metazoa; Chordata; Mammalia; Rodentia; Bathyergidae.
AUGGGAAUGCAUGCUUUCUCUGCCUGAGAUGCUGUCCUCAACCCUAUGUGUGGACACUGCACUCACAGAGGCUGAUCUGUACACACAUAUAGACACGGAUGCACACAUUCAACUUUACAUAGAAAGAGUUGGCUCAACAACUUCAUUGUGUUUUUUCUCACUUUGGGGUGCUGCUUCCCAGGGGAGCCUUGAUGAAUGCAGGCUGUGAGCAUGACCUCAUCUGUCAAGGUGGAGACAAGAGCUUAGGUGCUGGGGAGCGGACUGGGCUAUUCUGCAAUUCAUGAAGCAAAGCAGGGAAAAGAGGAAGAAGCCAAAGAAGGCAGAAGGCCAUAUUUGGUUGGAGUUGUCAUCAUGUCACUUGGCCCCUGAAGACCUAUGUUAGGAUGGUGGCCAGCCAAGAUGGUGGACCCUUUAACAGCAUCAGUUACUGAAAGAUUAUGUGAGUUGGAGCUGCUGUCAGCCCAUGCUGGACUACAGCAGGAGUGAGAAG